RNAcentral lists this long non-coding RNA (1319 nucleotides) under Manihot esculenta (cassava). Its description in RNAcentral is "long non-coding RNA (MESC_LNC013031)". The record is from RNAcentral. Lineage: Eukaryota; Viridiplantae; Streptophyta; Magnoliopsida; Malpighiales; Euphorbiaceae.
UUUCAUUUGUCUCGCACCGUGCAAUAUUCCAAAAUAUUGCAUAAAAAAAAUAGAAUUCACAUAAGUAGAAAUCGCAUGCACUUUUUAUGAGCCGCGUCACGUUUCCUUUUAAAGAAAAGGAAACGGAGCAACGAUUAAUCGUGACACAUACUCACAGUGACUUCCUUUCUUGAAGAGAUUUCAAGUGAUGAUGCUUGAGUAGAUCCUAAAUCAUAGCACGGGUAGAUUUAUUCGCUUCACAUAAUAUUCUAUUUUCAUUAAAUUAGUGCCAUGUACCUUCUAAAUUCAUAAUCGGUCCUUGAAUCUUUUGAAAAUUGCCCUUAGCAUGCAAUAAAAAAAAAUUUAAAGACGUUAAAAAAACCUAAUGAGAAAAUGUAUUUUUCACCGAAGAGAUUUCAACGCCUCAAUAUGUCGUGCAGUGACACAAAGUGAGCUAAAGUGAAAAGCAAAAUAGGCGACGCAAUUAUUCACGGGGUUCGACAAUAUGUCGAUGUGAUAGAGCUUGUGCAUUUUUUAUUCCAAAACUUUGAGCUUAUUGACCAACGAGCACCCGGGCUAGCUUGGUGAUGCAGUCGGAAAAUAGAGCUGUGCUGUUAUUGGUUAAACCUGCAAGAAUGAGAACGUGAGGUGAUGGGUGCCCACGGCAGCCACUCCGACGCUCAACUCAAUAAGCCUGAAGAGAAAAGCGAGAGAAAGGAAUUGCUCAGAACUUGAACAGUAUAAAAGAACAUCGUACCUUUGCCUCUCUGGUCGUUCUCCUUUAAUACUGUAAGAAGACAGAGAUAAAUAUAGCAUUUUCUGAUAAUCCAAUGAUGAUGUGAUCGUUUGCUUGAUCAGGGAUAUCGCCGGCUAAUAGGUCGGUGAUCCCGCGACUAUAGCCAUAAUGGGUAUACGCGGGACUGUGCCUGAUAAUGAUAACUUUGUGCCGAGACUCAUCUUAUCCAGGGGAGGGCCAGUUAUGCUAAUAAACAGGGUGUUGAGGUGUGCGGGCCUUCCUUUCCUAGAGCGGGGCCACGCUACCCACUCAUCAGAUCUUGCCACGUGGACCUAUUAUGUGUUGACAACUCAUGCCUUUCUUUGGGCGACCCUUGUGCAGCAUCACGUGGACCUAUUAUGUGUUGAAAAUCUCACAGCACCUCGACCCAUCAAAUGAAUAAGUUUUUAUUAAACGAGUUUCUUAGGUUCCCGAUAAUAAGUUUUAAAUGAGCAGCCCUAAUUUCAUGAGUCUCUUAUUUCGCAAACCUUUCUAAAAAAACCGCAUUUUGUUUCUCGCGGCCCAGUUUCUUUUCUCAUUUGAGCCGAAAAUGUUGCGUUGCAUC